GCUACUGUGAAGGUCACAAGGUCUGCAGACAAUGUGGAGCUAGGCAUACUGAGCCAACAUCAGGAUGACCCCUCCAUACACUUGUAUGCCCAGGUGAAACCUGCUAGACUCAGAAGGGCACAGACUACCUCUUCUUCCCUGUUUCCAAAGGAAUUACAGCACUCUAAACACAGACAGAAAAACAGAGACCAAGUCAUAGAUCAGCAGGUGUGUUUUGACUUCUCCAGAUCCCCAGGUUUCCAGUGGCCAACACAAACCUUCUACUUUUUUCUACUUCAGGCUGAUACAUCUCAGGAUUCUCAUGCUGUGAUUUAUGCCCAGCUGCACAUCAUGACACCAAGACAGGGCAGGCAAACUUCCCUCUUUCCGGGAAGAAUAUGCUGAAUUGAGACCCUUCUCUGUUGUCAACCAGUCCAGAGAGAUCUAGAAUCUACAUUCCGUGGGAGAGGAAGGACUCAGCCAUGUCAGAAAAUGAGAUCUGUCACAGGCACACUGUCAUUGUGCAAAAAUAUCUGGUGUCUAGUGUAUUCUGAGAUCUUCAGGGACUCACCUGAUUAUGUAGUCUGAGAUAAGAAAUAUGCCUGCAUGUUUUAAAUAGGGCAAAUGUUUUGUUAGUAACCAAUGCAUAAAAUGAAGAAAGAAAAUAGGACUG
Molecule: long non-coding RNA, 652 nt
Filed under: Rattus norvegicus (Norway rat)
Lineage: Eukaryota; Metazoa; Chordata; Mammalia; Rodentia; Muridae
Description: long non-coding RNA NONRATT000344
Source: RNAcentral